AACCAGGAUGUUGGCUCAGAAGCAGCCACCAUUUAAAGAGUGCGUAAUAGCUCACUGGUCGAGAGACCCUGCGCCGAAGAUUCCCGGGGCUAAAGUACGAAACCGAAGCUGUGGCUGUAUACGUAAAGUAUACGGGGUAGGGGAGCGUUCCCAUAGGGUAGAAGUCGAACUGGAAGGUUCGGUGGACUUGUGGGAAGUGAGAAUGUUGGUAUGAGUAGCGAAAAGAAAGGUGAGAAUCCUUUCCACCGAAAGCAUAAGGAUUCCUGAGCAACGAUCGUCGUCUCAGGGUAAGUCGGGACCUAAUCCGAGGCAGAGAGCGUAGGAGAUGGACAACUGGUUGAUAUUCCAGUACCGGUAGUAAUUGUUUGAGCAAUGGAGUGACACAGAAGGGCAGGCAAGCAUGCGAAUGGAAGAGCAUGUGUAAGCGUGUAGGGUGGUGCAUAGGCAAAUCCGUGCACUGAAAGCCUGAGGCGUGAUGCGGAGUGAGCAGAGAUGCGAGCGAAGUUGUUGACCCCACACUGUCGAGAAAAGCUUCUAGUGAGAGAGCUACCGCCCGUACCGUAAACCGACACAGGUAUGCGGGGAGAGAAUCCUAAGGUGCGCGGGAGAACCCUCGUUAAGGAACUCGGCAAAAUGUACCCGUAACUUCGGGAUAAGGGUAGCCACUGUUGUGAAGUCCCAUGCGGAUGGAGCAUAGAGUGGUCGCAGAGAAGAGGCCCAAGCGACUGUUUACCAUAAACACAGGUGCCUGCUAAAGCGAAAGCUGACGUAUAGGUGCUGACACCUGCCCAGUGCCGGAAGGUUAAGGAAGGAUGUUCGGAUUAGUCCAAAGCAUUCGACUGAAGCCCCGGUGAACGGCGGCCGUAACUAUAACGGUCCUAAGGUAGCGAAAUUCCUUGUCGGGUAAGUUCCGACCCGCACGAAAGGUGUAACGAUUUGGGCACUGUCUCAACGAGGGACCCGGUGAAAUUGAAAUACCUGUGAAGAUGCAGGUUACCCGCGACUGGACAGAAAGACCCCAUGGAGCUUUACUGUAACCUGACAUUGGGUUUUGAUACAUUACGUACAGGAUAGGUGGGAGGCAUGGAAAGCUGGACGCUAGUCUGGCUGGAGCCGACGUUGGGAUACCACCCUUGAUGUAUUGAAAUUCUAACCGCGAGAGUAACGAAAUCCGGGACAGUGUCAGGCGGGCAGUUUGACUGGGGCGGUCGCCUCCGAAAGAGUAACGGAGGCGCCCAAAGGUUCCCUCAGCGCGGCCGGAAAUCGCGCGAAGAGUGUAAAGGCAGAAGGGAGCUUGACUGCGAGUCAAACACGACGAGCAGGUACGAAAGUAGGGCUUAGUGAUCCGGUGGUACCGAGUGGAAGGGCCAUCGCUCAACGGAUAAAAGCUACCCUGGGGAUAACAGGCUAAUCUCUCCCAAGAGUCCAUAUCGACGGGGAGGUUUGGCACCUCGAUGUCGGCUCAUCACAUCCUGGGGCUGAAGUCGGUCCCAAGGGUUGGGCUGUUCGCCCAUUAAAGUGGUACGUGAGCUGGGUUCAGAACGUCGUGAGACAGUUCGGUCCCUAUCCAUCGCGGGCG
This 1579-nucleotide ribosomal RNA is filed under the name human gut metagenome. RNAcentral's name for it is "bacterial LSU rRNA". It matches the Rfam family "Bacterial large subunit ribosomal RNA", at positions 1091 to 2653 of the family's 2925-position model. The record is from RNAcentral.